GAUCCUGGCUCAGGAUGAACGCUAGCGACAGGCUUAACACAUGCAAGUCGAGGGGCAGCACGGGAGUAGCAAUACAACUGGUGGCGACCGGCGCACGGGUGAGUAACGCGUAUGCAACCUACCUAUCAGGAGGGGAAUAACCCGGCGAAAGUCGGACUAAUACCGCAUAAACAGGGGCACCGCAUGGUGAUAUUUGUUAAAGAAAUUCGCUGAUAGAUGGGCAUGCGUUCCAUUAGGUAGUUGGUGAGGUAACGGCUCACCAAGCCGACGAUGGAUAGGGGAACUGAGAGGUUGGUCCCCCACACUGGUACUGAGACACGGACCAGACUCCUACGGGAGGCAGCAGUGAGGAAUAUUGGUCAAUGGGCGAGAGCCUGAACCAGCCAAGUCCGGCGUGAAGGAAGAAGGGUCUAUGGUUCGUAAACUUCUUUUGCAGGGGAAUAAAGUGCGGGACGUGUCCUGUUUUGUAUGUACCCUGAGAAUAAGGAUCGGCUAACUCCGUGCCAGCCGCCGC
This 514-nucleotide ribosomal RNA is filed under the name uncultured bacterium. Its description in RNAcentral is "bacterial SSU rRNA". It matches the Rfam family "Bacterial small subunit ribosomal RNA", at positions 15 to 518 of the family's 1533-position model. The record is from RNAcentral.